Molecule: ribosomal RNA, 424 nt
Filed under: uncultured bacterium
Lineage: Bacteria
Description: bacterial SSU rRNA
Rfam family: Bacterial small subunit ribosomal RNA
Source: RNAcentral
UGGGGAAUUUUGCGCAAUGGGGGAAACCCUGACGCAGCAACGCCGCGUGGAGGAUGAAGUCCUUCGGGACGUAAACUCCUUUCGAUCGGGACGAUAAUGACGGUACCGGAAGAAGAAGCCCCGGCUAACUUCGUGCCAGCAGCCGCGGUAAUACGAGGGGGGCGAGCGUUGUUCGGAAUUAUUGGGCGUAAAGGGUGCGUAGGCGGUUUGGUAAGUCUUAUGUGAAAUCUAUGGGCUCAACUCAUAGACUGCAUGAGAAACUGCCGGGCUUGAGUGUGGGAGAGGUGAGUGGAAUUCCUGGUGUAGCGGUGAAAUGCGUAGAUAUCAGGAGGAACACCUGUGGCGAAAGCGGCUCACUGGACCAUAACUGACGCUGAUGUACGAAAGCUAGGGGAGCAAACAGGAUUAGAUACCCCCGUAGUCC